CUCUGGCAACACCAGGCUCCCUUCUGACAAAGGGAAGGUGUGGAAAGGCUCUUUAGUAAGUCCUGGCGGCCACACAUUCUGUAUCCUUCCUCUCCAAUUAACCUCAUGAGACAGAUGUUCACGCUGCUGUUUAUACGGAAGGUAGCUUAAGGUCAGUAGAUGAAAGAAACUUGCCUGAAAUCUCAAAUUUAACAGAGCAGGUAGCAACUGUCAUUUUAAAAAAAAAAUUCUGUUUGUGGGACUGGUGAAAUGAUUCAGCAAAUAAAAUGUUUGCCCUAAAAACCCGAGAACUCAAGUUCAAACACUGUAGCUCACAAAAAGGUGAAGAGAGCUGGCUCCACUUGCCUCUGGCUUCCUGGUGCAUACCAUGGUACAUAUAGGCAAACACACAACCACAGACACACAAAAAUGAGCAAUUUAAAAAAAUCCUGUUUGUGAGCCUCAAGUGGUAGCACACCUGUAAUCUCCACUCAGGCUUUUUAUGACAGAAAGAGUAUAAAUUUGAGGACAGCCUGGACCACAGAGGGAGACCCUGUCUCAAAAAGCAAACAAACCAACCAAAAAAAAAAAAAAAAAAAAAAAGACUGUUGAUUUUCUUUUGGGAGCCUCGUGAUCUUGAACUAGCGGCCUCCUGCCUUCAAUGCUGGGACCACAGGCAGGAACGACCAGGUCCCGUUUCUAUGCUGCUGGAGACUGAACCCAGGGCCUUCGGCAUGAGAAGCAGACACUCUACCAACUGAUCCACACCCCCACCUCUCCUGUCUGGUUGCCAAGGGUUCUGACUAGGUGCUAGGAACCUCUAUCUCUCCCCAGUGUCAUACUGCUCUUCGGAGAGAAGUCCAAAGACAUGAGCCCACAACAAGAGAAUUUAGGUGUGGUUCAGAGACUCAGGAAAAUCCUGGGGCCGACCCAGCGUUCACCUUUCACACAGAGGAAGAUAAAAAGAUGCUUCAGGAAACCUGGAGUCCCGGGUGCUAAGAGAACUCAGCACUGCUGUGCCGACUGAAGGAGACCCUGGGAGACCUUCUCCCGGGACAAGUGACGAGGAAGCUUAUUUCCAGGGUAGCCUCUGAUUUAGAGCUCCACUCAUAGCUCUAAAGGCUGUCAUGCCUAUGGAGCCAGGGGCUACGAGGAGCAGAUGAGAGCACUGAGGAGGCCACAGGCGGAGGGGCCUUCCCCUUUGGCAGCUUACCUAACAGACGGCGUGUGUCCUGUCAUGACAAAGGAGAGGCUUUAACUACCUGCCUCCUCCUUGCAGGAUGUUUAGACAUUCCUUAAAAAGGCACAGGGAAGGGCUCAGCUUGUUGGGCUGGGAGAAGAGGAGAAGGUUUGAGAAACAGAACUCAGUGUUGAAAUGCUUGCCUAGAACGGUCUAUCCCCGGCAGCAGAAAAAGAAAAAUAGAAAUCAAGCCAAAGAAAAAGCAGCGCACACACAGAGCCCCCAACAGCAGGUUACUUUGAUGUACCAGACAUUACUAACGCUUUAUCACUAAGAAUCCUUAGCCCAUGUUCCCGGAGCAAGGAGGUGUCAAAAGCUGAGGCCGCACAGCUGUCAAAUGGCAGGCCCGGUCUGGCCAGGCGGCACUGGAAACUGUGCAUGGUCCUUACACUACCACUGCCUGAAGGGAGUCCGGGGGGAUUACAACCUGAAUGGCUGAGGUUGCCAUUGCCUGGACUCCUACUACUCCAGUCUCCUGGACUGCCAAACUUCCUGUUCCAGAAAACCUGCCCAGAUUGGCGUUCUGUGGGGUCACGGGAUGUGGGGGACUUUCUGCAGGGGCACCACUAUGCAAGGCCUGGGAUUGCCUCAACCCCCUACAGCCGUACUGGAGGGACAACAGGGGUUCAAGGACAAGCUGGGGCUAUGAGAAUCUGUGUCACAGAAGUGCACACCUGAAAUCUCCAUGCCGCCCUGUGACGUCCCAGGAUUUCACUAAGGUAGGAAACUCCCCCGAGGGAUCAGAAGGCCUAGUUUACUUUUUGACAGGGCUGGCCACCAGCACAGAGCUUCCGAUUGCCUGCUGGGCUGCAAACAGGCACCAUAAACUAUGAAACUUUGUGGAGUGAGGCCCGCCUGGUGCCAAGGCAUGGUGCUAGCUGCCGGGUACAGACGGUCCCUAUCCCUGGCCAUAAACCCUUGUGCUCUGAGGACAGACCUUGAGUGUCAAGCCUCAAGUCCAUGUCUCACUCGGUUCCCCACAGGGCAGGGUUACUGACAGCAAGAUGACAGAGAAUUAAAACAAACAAAAACCUCAAAUCCAAUUCUUGUAAAUUGUACCGUGGGGCUGGAGAGAUGGUUCAGUGGUUAGAGUGCCCUUUAAUUGCAGCCCGGACAGGUGGGGACAGGAGCAGGUUGGCCAGGGAAAGGAGGCGUGUCAGUGAGCUCUGGGUUUGAGAGCAUGCCUCACUGAAGACAGGCAGACUGAGGAUGACUCCUCUCCCCGGCCUCAGGCCUCCCCAGGCAUUGGUGCCCCUCCACGAAUGGAAAAAGGGAAAAAGUUACACCCCACCAAGGGAAUGGCCAGCGCACAGUGCCAUUCAGGUAACCCAUACCCCCUGGAUCUGUCUGCCCCUCUGUGAUCUCUAUUGUGUUUGCUCUUUCCCAUGGACUAGUCCUGAGUUUGUUGGGGGUUAAACCUUUAAACUUUUUGUGGUGUGUCUCGAUGUCUCCCGGCGCGCCCCCCAAGAAGCCUGCUGUGAUUCACAGUGCGUCUCUUCUGUCACUCGGGUGAGGCUUCCCUGCAGCAACAGUGAGUCAGAAGGUGCCCUGAAAGAGCAGCGCUUGGGACCUUCGGGCCCGACUCUGGGGCCACCUAAUGCGGGGUGGGGGUUUCACGUUCUGCCACAGCAGAUUCAAGAAGGUAAGAACUACGGACAAAGGGCCUGUGUGUUGUCCUCACCUUCCAGAAUGUGGAUGAUGAAACGCACCUCUGCUACCCAACGACUCAGACAGUGUAUACUAUAAAUUUCAAACAUCAGCGACCUUGAGGGUAAAGCAGACGGUCACUUAAAAAAACGCUAAUGUUUAGAAGUCCGACAUGGGCUAGAGAGCCGCGCUUCCCUCUGCAAAAAUAGUAAGGCAGUACAGGCUGUGCUGUCCUGUGACUUUAUCCAACUUGGAGAAGGUUGGGCUUGAGAAAGGAAUCUCACUAAAGACCAGGCUGGCUCGGAGCUCUGGAUUCGUCUGCCUCUGCCUCCCAAGUAGAGGGACUAGACUACCGGUGCAUGCCACCAAUCCAUCAAAACCUAUGAGAUUUGAUGGCACGACCAGAGCAGGCACAUAGGCAGUAUGUGUCCACUAGCUAGAUGCGUCAGCCUUGCUGGUCUGAUGGAAGAACUUCCGGUAGCUGAUGGCCUGCUGGCACGAGGAUCUUCCGGCAUGAAGCUCAGGGUUGUUUCGGAGCUGAAGAGGAGGAGAGCAGCAUCGAGGAGGCCCAGGCACCUGGCUCAGUCUUCUUGGGUGCUCUUUUGGAGUCUGCUCGCGAGGAAUGGACAACUUAGUUGUUAUGGGCCUGGUCCUCACAAACUUCAGCCAGGGAUGAAACACCUUUGCUCCAAAAUUGUAGCAUCAGAAAUAAUAAUAAUAAUAAUAAAAACCAAAACGCUAUAGUCUACUGGA
Meriones unguiculatus (Mongolian gerbil) is the source of this 3619-nucleotide long non-coding RNA. RefSeq lists it as uncharacterized. NCBI's taxonomy places the organism in Eukaryota, Metazoa, Chordata, Mammalia, Rodentia, Muridae. The transcript is spliced from 2 exons. The record is from RefSeq and is a predicted model, not a curated record.